UUACCAGACUCCUACGGGAGGCAGCAGUGGGGAAUAUUGGGCAAUGGGCGCAAGCCUGACCCAGCAACGCCGCGUGAAGGAAGAAGGCUUUCGGGUUGUAAACUUCUUUUCUCAGGGACGAAUAGAUGACGGUACCUGAGGAAUAAGCCACGGCUAACUACGUGCCAGCAGCCGCGGUAAUACGUAGGAUGCGAGCGUUAUCCGGAUUUAUUGGGUUUAAAGGGUGCGCAGGCGGAUUUUUAAGUCAGCGGUCAAAUCGUGGGGCUCAACCCCAUCCAGCCGUUGAAACUGGGGAUCUAGAGUGUGCGAGAGGUAUGCGGAAUGCGUGGUGUAGCGGUGAAAUGCAUAGAUAUCACGCAGAACCCCGAUUGCGAAGGCAGCAUACCGGUGCACAACUGACGCUCAGGCACGAAAGCGUGGGUAUCGAACAGGAUUAGAUACCCCGGUAC
RNAcentral lists this ribosomal RNA (449 nucleotides) under uncultured bacterium. Its description in RNAcentral is "bacterial SSU rRNA". It matches the Rfam family "Bacterial small subunit ribosomal RNA", at positions 328 to 793 of the family's 1533-position model. The record is from RNAcentral.